This 372-nucleotide ribosomal RNA is filed under the name uncultured organism. RNAcentral describes it as "bacterial SSU rRNA". It matches the Rfam family "Bacterial small subunit ribosomal RNA", at positions 526 to 896 of the family's 1533-position model. The record is from RNAcentral.
CGGGGGGGGCAAGCGUUGUUCGGAAUUACUGGGCGUAAAGGGCUCGUAGGCGGCCAACUAAGUCAGACGUGAAAUCCCUCGGCUUAACCGGGGAACUGCGUCUGAUACUGGAUGGCUUGAGUUUGGGAGAGGGAUGCGGAAUUCCAGGUGUAGCGGUGAAAUGCGUAGAUAUCUGGAGGAACACCGGUGGCGAAGGCGGCAUCCUGGACCAACACUGACGCUGAUGAGCGAAAGCCAGGGGAGCAAACGGGAUUAGAUACCCCGGUAGUCCUGGCCCUAAACGAUGAAUGCUUGGUGUGGCGGGUAUCGAUCCCUGCCGUGCCGAAGCUAACGCAUUAAGCAUUCCGCCUGGGGAGUACGGUCGCAAGGCUG